This 468-nucleotide ribosomal RNA is filed under the name uncultured bacterium. Its description in RNAcentral is "partial 16S ribosomal RNA". It matches the Rfam family "Bacterial small subunit ribosomal RNA", at positions 28 to 507 of the family's 1533-position model. The record is from RNAcentral.
GACGAACGCUGGCGGCGUGCUUAACACAUGCAAGUCGAACGGAAAUGCCCUUCUUUUGUGGGGUGCUCGAGUGGCGAACGGGUGAGUAACACGUGAGUAACCUGCCCUUGACUUUGGGAUAACUUCAGGAAACUGGGGCUAAUACCGGAUAGGAGCUCCUGCUGCAUGGUGGGGGUUGGAAAGUUUCGGCGGUUGGGGAUGGACUCGCGGCUUAUCAGCUUGUUGGUGGGGUAGUGGCUUACCAAGGCUUUGACGGGUAGCCGGCCUGAGAGGGUGACCGGCCACAUUGGGACUGAGAUACGGCCCAGACUCCUACGGGAGGCAGCAGUGGGGAAUAUUGCACAAUGGGCGGAAGCCUGAUGCAGCAACGCCGCGUGCGGGAUGACGGCCUUCGGGUUGUAAACCGCUUUCGCCUGUGACGAAGCGUGAGUGACGGUAAUGGGUAAAGAAGCACCGGCUAACUACGUG